CCGUGUACAGGCCAGCAUCGGUUCUGGGGGUCGGUUAAAGGCUCGGGGAAUGUAUCUACCCCCCGGGCGUAGACUUAUAGCCCCGAGUGUCAUGCGGCCUUCCGGGACCGAGGAACGCGCUUCGGCUCGGAUGUUGGCGUAAUGGUUGUCAGCGA
Molecule: ribosomal RNA, 155 nt
Filed under: Exophiala sp.
Lineage: Eukaryota; Fungi; Ascomycota; Eurotiomycetes; Chaetothyriales; Herpotrichiellaceae
Description: partial large subunit ribosomal RNA
Source: RNAcentral